AACGCAUAUUGCGCCCUCUGGUAUUCCGGGGGGCAUGCCUGUUCGAGCGUCAUUAAUACCCUCAAGUAAUAAAACUUGGUAUUGGGCUUUCGUCUUAAUUUGACGGGCCUAAAAAUUAGUGGCGAUGCCUUUUAGGCCUUUCAAGCGUAGUAAAAGAUUUUUCUCGUCUUGAAAAAUAGGUUUAAAAAGUUUUAUCUGCCAAAAAAAAAAAUUUUUUUUUUUUUAAAGGUUGACCUCGAAUCAGGUAGGAAUACCCGCUGAACUUAA
Molecule: unclassified non-coding RNA, 267 nt
Filed under: uncultured fungus
Lineage: Eukaryota; Fungi
Description: partial contains 5.8S ribosomal RNA, internal transcribed spacer 2, and large subunit ribosomal RNA
Rfam family: 5.8S ribosomal RNA (bases 1-52)
Source: RNAcentral